Rhinopithecus bieti (black snub-nosed monkey) is the source of this 258-nucleotide unclassified non-coding RNA. Its record names the gene 7SK. It matches the Rfam family "7SK RNA". From Rfam's summary of the family: 7SK was discovered as an abundant small nuclear RNA in the mid-70s but a possible function has only recently been suggested. Two independent studies have found that 7SK RNA binds the CDK9/cyclin T complex (known as elongation factor P-TEFb). The record is from Ensembl. Lineage: Eukaryota; Metazoa; Chordata; Mammalia; Primates; Cercopithecidae.
GGAUGUGAGGACGAUCUGGCUGUGACAUCUGUCACUGCAUUGAUCACCAGGGUUGAUUCGGCUGAUCUGGCUGGGUAGGCAGGUGUUCCCUUCCUCCCUGACCACUCCAUGUGCAACCUUUUGAAGCUGUGUUCUUGGUUGAAGAGGAUGACCAUUCGUUGAUUGAGAGUAUAUAAGUAGCUGCACUCCACUGCCAGAACCUCCAAGUAAGCUCUCAAGGUCCAUUUAUUAUUCUGAGAACUUCUCCAAAAUAUCUCU